Molecule: ribosomal RNA, 456 nt
Filed under: uncultured bacterium
Lineage: Bacteria
Description: bacterial SSU rRNA
Rfam family: Bacterial small subunit ribosomal RNA
Source: RNAcentral
GACGAACGCUGGCGGCGUGCCUAAUACAUGCAAGUCGAACGCACUCUCGUUUAGAUUGAAGGAGCUUGCUCCUGAUUGAUAAACAUUUGAGUGAGUGGCGGACGGGUGAGUAACACGUGGGUAACCUGCCCUAAAGUGGGGGAUAACAUUUGGAAACAGAUGCUAAUACCGCAUAGAACCUAACACCGCAUGGUGUAGGGUUGAAAGAUGGUUUCGGCUAUCACUUUAGGAUGGACCCGCGGUGCAUUAGUUAGUUGGUGAGGUAAAGGCUCACCAAGACCGUGAUGCAUAGCCGACCUGAGAGGGUAAUCGGCCACACUGGGACUGAGACACGGCCCAGACUCCUACGGGAGGCAGCAGUAGGGAAUCUUCCACAAUGGACGAAAGUCUGAUGGAGCAACGCCGCGUGAGUGAAGAAGGUUUCGGAUCGUAAAACUACUGUUGUUGGUAGAAGAA